AGCAUGAUUAUGAGUACAGGUGUGUGACGGAGUUCACCACGCACACACGCGUGACCACGCCCACAGCGUUUUGCCAACACACUUCCUAGGUAACAGAGCAGCUGAUCUACACCUGAUUCAUUCUUCCACGCGCGGACAUUAUGAGUCUGUUUGGCUGGUGUUUCCUGGUCAGUGCAGUUUAGUUUUGUUUACUGAAGUGAGUGGAAAGGCAGAACUUAGAUGAAAAGAUUCAGCUGUAAAUAAAAGAGGAAAUAAAUACAUUCAGCUGGUGAUUUAAGACUGGAUCCUGCUCAUCAAAAUCUGCUUUACCGUCACUGAUGUCACAGACCGUCGUGCUGUCGUUGUAUCGCCAAUGCAGAGUCUGCAGCUUCUGUCCAAGUGAACACGGUAAGUGAACGGUUUCUCCUGUAAAACCUUCAACAGGGACACUCUGCACUGACACUGAAAGGGGGAAAAAAUCGAAAACACAGCAAAUCUCAAUAAUAUAAAUACAAAUGUGUGCAUCAGGUACAUCAACACUAUAUAUAAAAAGCUUCAUGCACUUUUGCAAUAAUAUCACAUUCACACUAUUCGAGACGUCACUCUAUAGGACUGGUGUAAGUUUCAUUCAAGCCAAUUGUCUGAAUUUGUUGCUUAUUGCAUUGAACUGAGAAAAGUCUCAUUGUUUUAUGUUCUUGAAAUCACAGAGUUAAUGUUGAGCACAUAAAUAGAAAAUGAGCAGUCAUUUCCUGCUUAACGUUCUCCACAUUCAAUCAUAGAACUGUUGAAUCUUCAUGUCUAGACCCACUGAUGCUCACAUUUCAGUAAUUAAUAUAAUAACAAAUUUCACUUUUCCAUACAGUACACACACCUGCUUACUGCGGUGUGAAACGCUCACCUGUGUGUAUCAGAAGCAGGAAGGUGAAGAAAAUCCAGCUGUAAUGGAGAAAAAAACAAAGAGGUGGAACAGCAGAAUAAAUUCACAGUAUGAUCACUGUAUAAUGGAGUUAUAAAUGAGUUUAAUUUGUGAAUUCGGGAAACUAGAAGGAAUGUUCAAAAAUCAGUAAAUAAAAUAAAAGUAAUAAAAAUAAAAGUAAAUAAAAUAGAAAUAAACAGAACACUGAUAUUCACAAAAAUGUAAGGUCCCUUGGUAACAAACCCUCCAAAAUAGGAGGAACUUUAGUCAUGGCACCUGACAAUGCCUGAUUGCCAGAAUUUUUUUUAUAUUUAUUUAUUUAUUUUUAUUUGCUUUAAAAAAUAUUUAUUUUUACUAUUAAUUUUUUGAGUUCAAAGUUAUUAUUAAGAGGGAAAAAAUACAAACAAAUCUACGUGAGUAUAGUGACACUAUGAGGACAUUUUUUUUUAUUUUUAUCUGUUUAUUAUGGGAACAUCGUCUCAUCAUAGCGUAAUAAUGUUUCAUUAUCUACAACCUCUACGAGAUCUGAGUUGAACUGGUGAAACUGGCUGCAGGCCUGGCCCUCUCUGUAGACCGAAACCAUGCAAACAAACGCACCUCUAUGCAAACAAGAGUCAGGUGCACCCAGCUACACACACCCAAACAUACUCCUCCAUCUCGCUUUGUUCAGGAUCCGAAAGGGAAUGGAGCCUACCCCGACAGACAAGAUUUUUCAGUAGUGUGAUGUAGUACAUUUAUAUAAACCUCCCUUUGCUGUAAAUUCAGUAAUCACAUACUGCGUUAGUCUCUCAUUGUGUCAAUUUAAUGUACUUGUGAACAGUAAAACUUUACACUUAACACUAAUAAGCACCAGUUUCCAAAACAUGCUCACUAGUAAUAAAUAAAUAAAUAAAUAAAAUCAGUGAGGGUGGAGAUUUCACAAUAAAUGAAAAUCUGCUUAAGUUUUGCAAAUAGGACAAAAAGACAAAAAAGAAAAGGACUUCCUUCUGCUACCAAGACCCGAGAGCAGCAGCAAUAAAUUUUCGGUCGUACAGGGAAUUAAAGGGACUCAUCACUAGAGUGUGACUGAACUUCAGUUAUAAACUUGAAACAAACCAACACAAAUGAAAUGGUCAGAACUUUGUGUCUACUGUUUAAACUGCCAAUACAUUCAAAGUCCAAGACUUUACAUGAGCGUAAAAUAUUGGUUAGAGGGGUGUGCCUACCUUCUUAUUCCCAUUACACUGGAAUACAUGUUUUUUUU
Long non-coding RNA from Ictalurus punctatus (channel catfish), 2138 nucleotides. RefSeq lists it as uncharacterized. The record is from RefSeq and is a predicted model, not a curated record. Lineage: Eukaryota; Metazoa; Chordata; Actinopteri; Siluriformes; Ictaluridae. The transcript has 2 exons.